This 253-nucleotide ribosomal RNA is filed under the name uncultured bacterium. RNAcentral's name for it is "partial 16S ribosomal RNA". It matches the Rfam family "Bacterial small subunit ribosomal RNA", at positions 524 to 776 of the family's 1533-position model. The record is from RNAcentral.
UACGGAGGUGGCAAGCGUUAUCCGGAUUUAUUGGGUGUAAAGGGCGUGUAGGCGGGAGCGCAAGUCAGAUGUGAAAACUCAGGGCUCAACCCUGAGCCUGCAUUUGAAACUGUGUUUCUUGAGUGCUGGAGAGGCAAUCGGAAUUCCGUGUGUAGCGGUGAAAUGCGUAGAUAUACGGAGGAACACCAGUGGCGAAGGCGGAUUGCUGGACAGUAACUGACGCUGAGGCGCGAAAGCGUGGGGAGCAAACAGG